Molecule: transfer RNA, 72 nt
Filed under: Microbacterium sp. 77mftsu3.1
Lineage: Bacteria; Bacillati; Actinomycetota; Actinomycetes; Micrococcales; Microbacteriaceae
Description: tRNA_Arg_CCG
Rfam family: tRNA
About the family: Transfer RNA (tRNA) molecules are approximately 80 nucleotides in length.
Source: RNAcentral
GCGUCCGUAGCUCAGUGGAAGAGCAUCCGCCUCCGGAGCGGAAGGUCAGGGGUUCGAUGCCCCUCGGGCGCA